GUGCUCGCUUCGGCAGCACAUGUACUAACAUUGGAACUAUACAGAGAAGAUUAGCAAGGCCCCUGCGCAAGGAUGAAACGCAAAUUCGUAAAGCGUUCCAUAUUUUU
This 107-nucleotide small nuclear RNA is filed under the name Urocitellus parryii (Arctic ground squirrel). Lineage: Eukaryota; Metazoa; Chordata; Mammalia; Rodentia; Sciuridae. The record is from RNAcentral.